GAAGCGCUAAGCCACAAGGGCUAUACAGCGCCAGGGGUUAUCUUAAGUAAUUUACAUUAUAUGAUAAAUGUAUUUGUGCUUAAAUAAAGUUUCUGAAACAUGUUCGACGUGUCCACUCGUAACGGGAAUCGAACCGAAAUGCCCCGGCAUGAUAGUGACUUUCUUUGUACUUAGCAAACCAAAGUUGUAAUUACACAUUGUAACCUUUACAAAGAAAUAUAAUCUUUAUUCUUUUAUUCAUUAUUCACUCUCAGAGUGUGAGGUGAGGUGACGUUACCAACUGAACCACGAGAAGUGCUUCAGAUAUGAUCAGACUUAAAGACAUGACUGAUAACCAUGGCUGUGUAAUCACAAGAUAAUUAUUACAGAGGGCACCACAGUAGACUUGGUCCACAUGUGACAACACAACACAUCCCUAUAGCCAUUGUCUAGGUGUGUCCAGGGACUAUGGCCAAUCGCUUCUUUGAGGGUGCAGCUCAUGCCGCUGCUUAUGCUAAGUUUAGACCCCAGACUCCUGCUUCUGUUGUUGAUCGAAUCUGUUCCUUCCUCAAAGAAAAGUAUGAAGGAUCUCUGAGAGCUGCUGCUGAUGUUGGCUGUGGUUCGGGUCAGAGUACACAGAUCUUGAGUCCUCACUUUACCUCUGUUACGGGUCUUGAUGUUUCUCCAGCUCAGACUUCUGAGGCCAUUAAACUAAAUACAAAACCAAAUGUCUCCUUUGUAACCAGUAGUGCAGAGAAGCUACCGUUCUCUAACAAUAGCCUGCAGUUGAUCACUGCAGGCCAGGCUUGUCACUGGUUUGAUCUGCCAGUGUUCUACAAGGAAGUAGAUAGAGUUCUUGUACCUGGGGGUGUCCUUGCGCUUUAUGGAUAUUUGUUCCCACAGCCCAUCCAUGGAGAUCUCACUGAAAAGUUGUAUCAGAUUGUUAACCAUAUGUAUAUAAGUGAACUGAAUGGCUAUAUUCACCAAGGGAGUAAAGAGGUGUAUCUAGAGCAGUAUGGGGCAGACAAGUACAAGUUAAUCUAUGAUGACGUCUUGGAAAUCAGGUGUAUGAGAGGGAGACUGGAGGCUAUUGGGGAAGUGGUCGUAAAGAUGUUGAUGCUUCAUAUAGUGACCAAAAGUUUGUCAUACCUUACCCAAGUUUUACAAGGGAUGAUACUCACUUUGUGGAUAAAACUACAACGGUUGCUGAGCUAACAGGAUACAUCUCUAGCUGGUCAGGAUUCCAGAACUUUGAGUCAAAAUGUGGCAGUGCUGCUGCUCAGAAUAUUCUUGAAGAUUUUCAGAACAGAAUUAUGUCUACUCUUAAUGUGGCAACAAGUCCAGAGGAUACCGAAAUCUGUCUUCGUUUCAAGUACUUCCUUCUUAUGGGACGAAAACCUCUUGGCCCAUAAUAGUUUCUCAUUUGAAGCUUUAGUGGAAUGCCAUUUAACCCGUAAACAGUCUGAAUGUAUAUAUAUAUUACCUACCGUAGUGCCCCAACUUUUUUUGAGAAAAAAAAAAUCUUUUGUUUUUUAAUAGGAAAAAAGAGCAUAUGGUACCCAGGCAUCCCCGAUUAUUUUAAUAUGGCGCACAGUGAGUGCGCACACCCAUUCUCUCAUGUCUAGGCGACUCAGGCUUAUCGUGGCACUGAUAAAUGUAUGACCAAUGAAACGUAUAUAUACGUUUGGGGCACUAGCGGUAAAAACGUAUGUAUAAGUUUGGACCGUUUAUGGGUUAAUGGCCAUUGAGUCAGCAAGGAAGAUGAAGGGAUGGAACUAUUAUUAUUCAGUAGUCAGCUUCAAACAUAUUAUGUAAAUAUUCAUUAAGUUUUGUGUCAGAUAGUGUUAAAUUAUACUUAAUUUUUACAAAUAUUCAUUUACAGUCACUGUAUUUAUUAUUUGUUACACAUUCAAUUAAAUUACUGUGACUAUUUAUUCUAGAAAUAGCAGUAUUUGUCAGUGAUAUAUACAAUAUUCCUAGAACAUGUGCCAAUCUAUCUUUAACUUUAUUAAGAGUUGAAAAACACCACAAUUAGAUAGGACACAUUACAGUAAUAGUAACUUUUUUAUUUGGCCAACUUAAUAUAGUACUAUAGGUAUUGUAACAAAUCUAUAACUCCCAGUAAUAUAAUUUAGAAAAUGUAGACUUUAAUGAUUAAACAAGAAUUUACAGCAUGCAGUCCAUCUUCAACUCAAGCAUUGUUAAACAUCAACAGUAGUCUGUUAACGUUGUCCACAUGUCAACUAAGUACGUUAUUCAUGGAGUGGUUUCAUGACAUACCUCAUGGCCAAUACUUAUACCUUGGAUGAGUUAUAGGUAUGUCCAACUGCCAACUGUAAGUAAAAUAAAUUUGUUUUUGUGUGACCAGUUAUCUGGUUUCCAUGUGUGAGAUCAGUCAUCUGAUUCCUAGGUCUUUGACCAUUCCUAAUUCUUUGAAGUUACACACACUACCCUACCCUUAAACUACCCUCCCCUUCCUUGAAUCAAACCUUACUACCCAUUUCCCAGGUGCUGUAUGACCCCUAGGACUUAGCAAUUCCCAUGAUUAUAAUCAUGGGAAGUGCUAAGCCCACGUGGAUUAUUAAGCACUGUACAGGAAGAGUGAGGAAUGGUAGGUGGAGUCACAGAGAAGGAAAUUAGUGUUGGUUAAGAAAUCAGGGAAUCUGGACAAGUAGAGCAGUGUGUAACUUACCAUGAUGAUAGUCAUGGGAAGUGCUAAACCGUAGGGGUCAUACAGCACCUGGGAAAUGGGUAGUAAGGUUUGAUUCAAGGAAGGGAAGGGUAGUUUAAAUUCCUUGGAUCAUAUGCCUUUCAAUGGCACAUAUUCCAAGGGUCCUUGAAUAUAAUAAUACUUUAUCUGCCAGUUUUUAAAUUUGUUUUUCAGUAGUGAAUCCUGACAAAUGUUUUCCAUGCAGUCAUUUUUUAUCAAAUCCCUGACAUUUAAUUUUGAAUAAUUUGAAGCUUGUUUUUCCAAAUUUGUUGUGUAAGCUAUAUGGUGUUGUAACAGUUAUGUGGCUUGUUACUUAUUGCUUCACUGGUUUAUGACUUAUAGUAAGCUCUCUUUAUUUAUUAUAGCAACAAAAAGCAUUAAUUUUAUGCUUUGCAGUCAGAGGUAAAAGUAAUACAAAAACAUUCAAAAGAACAUUUAUUUACAAAGUAUUGAAAAAUAUAUUUACAAAAUGCAAAGUAUAUUAGAUACAUUUUAUCAGUUGUUAGUGUCCCUACCAAGAAGUUUUGGACGUUCUUGACACGUGUAUUUCCACAACUCUUGCAUUAUAAUACUCUUAUAUACAGUAUUAAUACUUAUAAAUUAAUAUUUUUUAGA
Molecule: non-coding RNA, 3304 nt
Organism: Cherax quadricarinatus
Lineage: Eukaryota; Metazoa; Arthropoda; Malacostraca; Decapoda; Parastacidae
Source: RefSeq, a predicted model, not a curated record